UGAAGAUUAUUUUAUCCGAUCAGAUUGAGACUCUUCAACUGAAUCACUCGCCGGAGAAGCCAUGCCGAUGUUCAAGGCGCCGUUCAACGGCUACUCAGUGAAAUUCAGCCCUUUCUACGAGUCCCGCCUCGCCGUCGCCACAGCUCAGAACUUCGGUAUCCUAGGAAACGGCCGGAUCCACGUCCUCGAGCUCUCUCCCGGAGGUCCCGGCGUCACAGAGUCCAUCGCCUUCGACACGGCCGACGCAGUCUACGACGUCUGCUGGUCAGAAUCUCACGACUCCGUUCUCAUCGCCGCCAUCGGCGACGGCUCCGUCAAGAUCUACGACACAGCGCUCCCGCCUCCCUCCAACCCCAUCCGAUCGUUCCAAGAACACGCGCGUGAGGUUCACUCGGUUGAUUACAACCCCACGCGCCGCGACUCCUUCCUCACGGCGUCGUGGGACGAUACGGUGAAGCUGUGGGCUAUGGAUCGUCCCGCGAGCAUAAGGACUUUCAAGGAGCACGCGUAUUGCGUUUACCAAGCGGUGUGGAACCCUAAGCAUGGAGACGUCUUCGCCUCUGCUUCCGGCGACUGUACCCUGAGGAUAUGGGAUGUGAGAGAGCCUGGCUCCACCAUGAUCAUCCCUGCGCAUGACCUCGAGAUACUGUCGUGUGAUUGGAACAAGUAUGAUGAUUGUGUUUUAGCGACUUCUUCGGUGGAUAAGACGAUUAAGGUGUGGGAUGUGAGGAGUUACAGAGCUCCUUUGGCUGUGCUCAACGGGCAUGGGUAUGCGGUGAGGAAGGUGAAGUUCUCGCCGCAUAGGAGGAACUUGAUUGCUUCUUGCUCGUAUGAUAUGAGUGUGUGCCUUUGGGACUAUAUGGUGGAGGAUGCUUUGGUGGGUCGGUAUGAUCAUCACACUGAGUUUGCUGUUGGGAUUGAUAUGAGUGUUCUUGUUGAAGGUUUGAUGGCGAGUACUGGUUGGGACGAGCUCGUUUAUGUUUGGCAGCAAGGGAUGGAUCCAAGAGCGUGUUGAAACAAGUUUAAGUCUCUGUGUUUCCUCUUUAUUUAUUAUGGAAUAAUAAAGUUGGGAUCUUUCAUAAAAAAUGCCAUGUCAUUGAUGGAAUAUUCAUACAUAGAUGAACUUGUUUGUGGACGCUUUAACAAGAAAUGACUAUACUCGCUCAUGUUCUAGUGGAUACAUUAUAUUAGCUUGUUGAUCGAAACACUUGAUUACUUCUUUGUGGACUCGAGAUGGUUUAUAUUUGAAGGUAUGGAAAACAAACAAAGUUGAAAUCUUGGUAAUUGCUAGCAUGUUUAAAAAAAAAGAGAGUUAGUUUUACCAUCUUAACUUCUCUUAUAUACAAGAGCAAGCUCGAGGCAGUGAACCUUGGGAAAGGGCUGUUUUUGACAGUCUUUUUACAUAU
Molecule: RNA transcript, 1406 nt
Organism: Brassica rapa (field mustard)
Lineage: Eukaryota; Viridiplantae; Streptophyta; Magnoliopsida; Brassicales; Brassicaceae
Gene name: peroxisome biogenesis protein 7
Source: RefSeq, a predicted model, not a curated record